GAUGAACGCUGACAGAAUGCUUAACACAUGCAAGUCUUUGGCGAAGCUGUGCUUGCACAGCCUAGCCAAGGCGGACGGGUGAGUAACGCGUAAGGAACUUGCCCUGCAGUCAGGGAUAACAGACGGAAACGACUGAUAAGACCUGGUAAAGUCAGGCGGACUCAUGUCCAGCCUGAUGAAAAGAGAUGCUGCAGGAGAGCCUUGCGUCCUAUUAGCUUGUUGGUGGGGUAACGGCCCACCAAGGCGAUGAUAGGUAGCCGGCCUGAGAGGGUGGACGGCCACAAGGGGACUGAGAUACGGCCCUUACUCCUACGGGAGGCAGCAGUGGGGAAUAUUGGACAAUGGGGGCAACCCUGAUCCAGCAAUUCUGUGUGCACGAUGAAGGUUUUCGGAGUGUAAAGUGCUUUCAGCGGGGAAGAAAAAAAUGACGGUACCUGCAGAAGAAGCGACGGCUAAAUACGUG
RNAcentral lists this ribosomal RNA (463 nucleotides) under uncultured bacterium. RNAcentral's name for it is "partial 16S ribosomal RNA". It matches the Rfam family "Bacterial small subunit ribosomal RNA", at positions 28 to 507 of the family's 1533-position model. The record is from RNAcentral.